RNAcentral lists this long non-coding RNA (995 nucleotides) under Dicentrarchus labrax (European seabass). RNAcentral's name for it is "lncRNA (ENSDLAG00005034115.1)". The record is from RNAcentral. Lineage: Eukaryota; Metazoa; Chordata; Actinopteri; Moronidae.
GUUCUAUGAAGAGGUGAAAGAUACCAUAAGAAAAAAGGCAAUACCAGUGCCAUAAUUAAAGAAAGAGAGAAAGCCUGGCAGACAAUAGCGGACCGGCUUAAUGCGUAAGUAGUCCAAAACUGUACAAUGAAUAAACAGUGCUCCACUGGAACUGUCAUAAUUAGGCUCCAAUUGAAGGACUAAAGGAGUUACUUUAAGUCCACUAAUCAACUGUUGUACACUUUGCUUGUGUGGCAAUUAGCGGUGCAUGUUACUUAAAUGUAGAGUAUGAUUAAGUGCAAACAAUUAUCCACAAUGUGUGUCAUUUAAUCUAUUUUUAUCUAUUUUAUCUUUCUAUCCUUCAUAAAGAACAAACUUGUCUGGCCAUAAAAGGACCUGGCAGCAAGUUAAAGUUAAAUACAAGAACAUUUUGCAGGCUGCAGUUAAAAAAAAAGACCAUAGAACUGGCACAGGGGGCGGCCCACCAAGCCAGGAUAUGACCCGGCGGAGGAGCUGGCACUCCAUUUAAAUAAAGGGAGGCCAGUGAUGGAGGGAAUCCAGGGAGGGACAGUAACGGACUCUAUCCCAGCCACAGAAACUGUCCGCUUCAUACAAGUGUCUGGGAACACGCUUACACUUUUGGAGCCACCAGAAGAUGAUCCGGGGGAAGGCACAUCUGCAGCUGCAGAAUGCACUUCUGCAGAUGAGGAGACUGUGUCACUGGACUCCAGAAGGCUUGAGACUUCACAAACUGUCAGAAGGCUUUAUGCGAAGCACCUGGAGAGACAGAUAGAGCUGGCAGAUGUUAAAAUAAAACUGAAGAAGAGAAAGCUCCAAGAAAUGGAGCUGGAUCUUGAAAUUAAACGUCGGACACUCAGGAAACUGGACCUGGAAAUCCAGAAACUAGAAAGAGAAGAUCCAAGCAACCAAGGCAAAUGAGGGCUGCCAAAUAAAAAUUCAACUAGAAAACAUUGUGGUGUCCUCCGUUUUUCAUGAAUGUGAAGUAGAAUUUAAAA